AUUGAACGCUGGCGGUAUGCUUAACACAUGCAAGUCGAACGGUAGCAUGACUUAGCUUGCUAAGUUGAUGACGAGUGGCGAACGGGUGAGUAACGCGUAGGAAUAUGCCUUAAAGUGGGGGACAACUUGGGGAAACUCAAGCUAAUACCGCAUAAUUUCCUUGGAAAAAAGCUGGGGACCUUCGGGCCUGGCGCUUUAAGAUUAGCCUGCGUACGAUUAGCUAGUUGGUAGGGUAAAGGCCUACCAAGGCGACGAGCGUUAGCUGGUCUGAGGUGAUGACCAGCCACACUUGAACUGAGACACGGUCCAGACGCCUACGGGAGGCAGCAGUGGUGAAUAUUGGACAAUGGGGGCAACCCUGUUCCAGCAAUGCCGCGUGUGUGAAGAAGGCCUGAGGGUUGUAAAGCACUUUCAGUGUGGAGGAGAGUAUAUAGGUUAAGAGCUAGAAUACUGGACGUUACCCACAGAAGAAGCACCGGCUAACUCCGUGCCAGCAGCCGCAGUAA
RNAcentral lists this ribosomal RNA (506 nucleotides) under uncultured bacterium. Its description in RNAcentral is "partial 16S ribosomal RNA". It matches the Rfam family "Bacterial small subunit ribosomal RNA", at positions 30 to 523 of the family's 1533-position model. The record is from RNAcentral.